UUAAGUAGUAAGACAAUAUAAUCAAGUGUGAGAAUUAAAGAAAAUAUGAGAAAAUCAAAAUGUUGAAGAACCAACAUAACACACUUGGGUAUCGAACCCAGGACUAAAGAGGAGGUGAACUAUCUCCAUCUCCACCCGGCCAUGAGUUGCCCGAUACUAGGCUUCGGCCAACAAAACCUAAAUGCUAAGAGAAGGAAAAAAAC
Molecule: long non-coding RNA, 203 nt
Filed under: Lathyrus oleraceus (garden pea)
Lineage: Eukaryota; Viridiplantae; Streptophyta; Magnoliopsida; Fabales; Fabaceae
Description: Pisum sativum (pea) long non-coding RNA (PSAT_LNC041867)
Source: RNAcentral